RNAcentral lists this long non-coding RNA (291 nucleotides) under Drosophila guanche. The record is from RNAcentral. Lineage: Eukaryota; Metazoa; Arthropoda; Insecta; Diptera; Drosophilidae.
AUUAUAUUGAAUUUAUUUGCAUUUUUAAUUUGUUUAACUUAUUUGAACGCCAGUAUCUUCAUGUCGCCAAGACACAGACCCGGCUGGGCUGUUAACAAAAUGUUUUAAGUUGUUUUCCUUUUUGGACCAAGUACUGCUCCACAGGGUCGAUGCCAAGGGGCGAUGGCGACAAUCUGGGCUCGAAACUAGCCAAUGUUGAAUAGGAAGGGUGCUUGGAGGCGCCGUUUUACAACUUUGCAACGGGCGCAAAUAUUCCUUGUCACGGCCUUGCUGCUUCACCAAUUAAAGAAG